AGUCAACAUGCCCAGGGGACGUGGAUAACCUCGGGAAACUGAGGAUAAACCACGAUAGGUCAUAAUAUCUGGAAUGAUUUAUGGCUAAAAUCUACAUGGCCUCUGGAUUGGACUGCGGCCGAUCAGGCUGUUGGUGAGGUAAUGGCCCACCAAACCUAAAACCGGUACGGGCUCUGAGAGGAGAAGCCCGGAGAUGGGCACUGAGACAAGGGCCCAGGCCCUAUGGGGCGCAGCAGGCGCGAAAACUCUGCAAUAGGCGAAAGCUUGACAGGGUUAUUCUGAGUGAUUUCCGCUAAGGAAAUCUUUUGGCACCUCUAAAAAUGGUGCAGAAUAAGGGGUGGGCAAGCCUGGUGUCAGCCGCCGCGGUAAUACCAGCACCCCGAGUGGUCGGGACGAUUAUUGGGCCUAAAGCAUCCGUAGCCGGUUCUACAAGUCUUCCGUUAAAUCCAUCUGCUUAACAGAUGGGCUGCGGAGGAUACUAUGGAGCUAGGAGGCGGGAGAGGCAAGCGGUACUUAGUGGGUAGGGGUAAAAUCCGUUGAUCCACUGAAGACCACCAGUGGCGAAGGCGGCUUGCCAGAACGCGCUCGACGGUGAGGGAUGAAAGCUGGGGGAGCAAACCGGAUUAGAUACCCGGGUAGUCCCAGCUGUAAACGAUGCAGACUCGGUGAUGAAUAGGCUUCGUGCCUUUUCAGUGCCGCAGGGAAGCCGUUAAGUCUGCCGCCUGGGGAGUACGGUCGCAAGACUGAAACUUAA
RNAcentral lists this ribosomal RNA (754 nucleotides) under uncultured archaeon. Its description in RNAcentral is "bacterial SSU rRNA". It matches the Rfam family "Archaeal small subunit ribosomal RNA", at positions 102 to 859 of the family's 1478-position model. The record is from RNAcentral.